This 1583-nucleotide long non-coding RNA is filed under the name Ananas comosus (pineapple). Its description in RNAcentral is "long non-coding RNA (ACOM_LNC040413)". The record is from RNAcentral. Lineage: Eukaryota; Viridiplantae; Streptophyta; Magnoliopsida; Poales; Bromeliaceae.
UAUUGGACGUUUGGCAACGUGAAGUUUACCUGGUCGAGAACAAUGCAGAGCUUAUUGAAAUUUAAAACUAUUUUUAAAUUCCUUAGCCAGUCUUUAUAAUGAAUUUCAGUUAAGGAUUUUGUGUCGAGAAUAUGAGAGAUAUAAUUGGAAGUAGACAUUUACUUUGCAGAGAGUAAAGAUUCAAGUUAGAUAUUUGUAUUUGUUUUGAAAAAUUGUUUUAGGAAUUUUAAAAACAAAUUUAGCCUCCCAUUGUUUUCUCGAGUCUGUUACACUCCUCGGGUAGAGAAACAGAAACCCAACGCGACAAGAGGUUUCAAGUGGGUACUGCGGUCCCACCAAUUUAACGUACCACCUCACCUAACAGUUAUUGGUAAUAUGCAAACCGAUGAGUGGACAACUCUUGUCCAAUGCUUCUCAAGCAAAUUGCAGUGAUCGGUCUCUAAGUCCUGUAGGCCUCACCUGACAGUUAUUGGCCCAAUUCCUUAGUUAAGUCAGACCCACCGUUCAAACGCUAAGCAAAGCCGUCAUUGGGUCCCUCACCUGACAGUUAUUGGGCCCAACCCCAUCUUUACUCCGCAGCAUCUCAUGCUAAUAGAGUGGUUGCGAAUUCUCGAUGCAACUGACCACUGUAACCAGCCGUGCCAAUCAACACCAGAAAAGCGCCCGCACUUCUACAACGGCGAAAGACCGCUCGACUUAAUAUUUAUGAGGAGAUUUAUUUAGGUCUCAAAAAAAUAUUUUAUUUAUUUACAUCUAAUGCAAAUAAAAUAAAAAAUCAAUCCGCGCAAACAAACAUAAUUAAACUGGUGAUGAUCAUGGAUCUAAGAAGUGGAUUCGGACUCGAGCCACUGAGUCGGAAUCGGGGUCUUAGGGUCAUAAAUUACAAGCACACACACGUCAUCGGUUUGAUCAUCUUCAACUUCUUGAUCAGAUCUGGAGCUUCAACUUGAUUUGAUCCUUAUCAACACCUUGAUCCGACCGCCAUCAAGUAUUCGUCUCAAUCCGGGCCUUGUGAACUUUUAGGCUUGCAAUCGAUCAACCAAUGACGUGCAACCAUACAUUAUACAACCCAACAAUACAAAUGAAAUGAAAAUUAAUUACAUUUGAUAUCUUUUAUCUCUAAUCUAUUGAGACACGCAUGUUUCCAAAUAAAUCGGCUUGUGCACGCAGGCACAACUAUAGCCAUCUCUAAUACAAAGUCCUUAAUUUAAACAAAUUUAAAAUUACAGGAUUCUACAUACACAUCAUACAUCACAUGUCGAAAUAUAAAUAGGUCAUCAUAAUUUUAAUCUUAAAAACAUGAGGAUGGCUUUGAUACCACUGUUAGAAAAUUGCGUACGGUAAAAACGCAGCGGAAAAAGAAAUCAAACAAAUUUGAUUUUUGAAAACUCUCGAGAUCUAAUCUCAAAAACCACGCAAUUAGGAUCCCUCAUGUUUUAAGAUUAAAGAAGAAAAACAAGAUCGAAUCUUUACCUUUUUCGCAGAUAGAUCUUCCCCUCAAUUUGAUGAUCGUGGAAUUCGGUUCUCUUGAAGCCGCACACGCGUCCGGCCUCUAUAGGUAUCCACACGAGGUUCUUGAUUUG